CUAAGCAUAUCAAUAAGCGGAGGAAAAGAAACCAACAGGGAUUGCCCUAGUAACGGCGAGUGAAGCGGCAACAGCUCAAAUUUGAAAUCUGGCCUUGGCCCGGGUUGAAAUUUGCAUAGGAUGUGUCUGGCGCGGUGCCUUCCGAGUUCCCUGGAACGGGACGCCGAAGAGGGUGAGAGCCCCGUAUGGUCGGACACCAAGCCUGUGUGAAACUCCUUCAACCAGUCGAGUAGUUUGGGAAUGCUGGUCUGAAUGGGAGGUAAAUCUCUUCUAUUGCUAAAUACCGGCCAGAGACCCAUAGCGCACAAGUAGAGUGAUCGAAAGAUGAAAAGCACCUUGAAAAGGGGGUUAAAUAGUACGUGAAAUUGUUGAAAGGGAAGCACUUAUGACCAGACUUGGGCCGGGCGGCUCAUCAGGGGUUCUCCCCUGUGCACUCCGCCCGGCACAGGCCAGCAUGGGUUCUCGUGGGGGGAUAAGACCGUCAGGAAAGUAGCACCCUCCGGGGUGUGUUAUAGCCUGGCGGACGAUACCCUCGUGGGGACCGAGGUUCGCGCUCCGCAAGGAUGCUGGCGUAAUGGUCAUCAGUGACCCGUCUUGAAACACGGACCAAGGAGUCGUCCAUUAGAGCGAGCGUUUGGGUGUAAAACCCGCACGCGUAAUGAAAGUGAACGCAGGUGAGAGCUUCGGCGCAUCAUCGACCGAUCCUGAUGUUCUCGGAAGGAUUUGAGUAAGAGUUUUAACGGACGGACCCGAAAGACAGUGAACUAUGCUUGUAUAGGGUGAAGCCAGAGGAAACUCUGGUGGAGGCUCGCAGCGGUUCUGACGUGCAAAUCGAUCGUCAAAUAUGAGCAUGGGGGCGAAAGACUAAUCGAACUGUCUAGUAGCUGGUUACUGCCGAA
This 899-nucleotide ribosomal RNA is filed under the name Diaporthe cynaroidis. RNAcentral's name for it is "LSU rRNA". It matches the Rfam family "Eukaryotic large subunit ribosomal RNA", at positions 34 to 965 of the family's 3401-position model. The record is from RNAcentral. Lineage: Eukaryota; Fungi; Ascomycota; Sordariomycetes; Diaporthales; Diaporthaceae.